This is a long non-coding RNA of Ctenopharyngodon idella (grass carp), 834 nucleotides long. RefSeq lists it as uncharacterized. The record is from RefSeq and is a predicted model, not a curated record. Lineage: Eukaryota; Metazoa; Chordata; Actinopteri; Cypriniformes; Xenocyprididae. The transcript has 4 exons.
CUGCUUGUUUUCACAAACGAGCCCCAACCUUCUGAAGUUUCAGAUUCCCUUUUCUUAGCAGUAACUGUCAAAGUGCCUUGCAGAUAAGUGUCCUUAUUAAACCCACCCCUUUCUGAACAGACAUAAAAGAACCUGAAGCAUUAUUUCUGUAUAGUCCUUCUGUUUCUGACACAUGAUGGAUCUGCAAGUCUCCGUUGUUCUUCUUUUCAUUUUUCUCACUGGAGGAUAUUCUCUCAAGUGUUACUCGUGCACAUCUGUUUUGACGGGCUCCUGUGAACUGAAAGUGGAGACAUGUCCAGUUGGAAAUUUUAAAUGUGCAAGCGGUACGGUAGAACAAUCCAUUGGGUUCGCUAAGGUGUCUAUCACAACUAAAGGGUGCCUAGAUAAAUGUGAAACAGGGACUGGACAGCUACCAACCAGAGAAACAGUGACUUAUAGCUGCUGUGACACUGAUCUUUGCAAUGCAGCAGACGGAGUGUAUAAGGGAAGCUUCCUCCUGCUCUUGUCUCCUCUGCUCUUCUACCUCCUGUUUCAGUGAAUCCAGAUGAACUUCAGAUUCUACAGCAAAGACCAGCAGAAACUCAAUAUGAUACACUAUCUGAUACUGAAUAAAGCUUGUUUGCUGCUCUGCUCUUCUUUGGUUUAAGGAACUGAAAAUAUGUACUUUUAACAUUAAACAAAUUACUGCAUCAAAACUAACACAUGUAUGAAUUUUCUUUGCAUAAAGGAAAAGUUAUUAUAGAAUGUAAUAAAUAAUUAAAGAAAAACAUUGCCGUUUUAAAAAGUGUGAAAAACGUCUGUAAUAAAAUAUUUACAUAUGUGUAUUAAACAUUU